Molecule: long non-coding RNA, 5089 nt
Organism: Ictalurus punctatus (channel catfish)
Lineage: Eukaryota; Metazoa; Chordata; Actinopteri; Siluriformes; Ictaluridae
Exons: 3
Source: RefSeq, a predicted model, not a curated record
AAGUGGAAUUUAGUAACUAUCAGGAGCUGAAAUGGCGUAGCUUGUCUCUGUCGGCGAUGGACAACGGGCCUGGAUAAAGCGGACAAACCUGGCCACAAACCGCGCGGAGAUGGAGUUUAACCCAUGUCCUUUAUCAUCACACUGAAAAACUAGUCAAGAAGAGACGCGAAGUCGUCCUGCCGCCUGGUAAGACGAAGAGUUCGACAUGCGUGAGUGUGAGACUACAGGGAAAGCGCCGACAGAUGAGAAGUGGGUCAGCAGCAUGCCGAAGCCUGUCUUACGCUCGCUUCCUUCAGAUCUGCUAAACAUCAUGCCCGGGUAGCAUUUCACGCACCAUCCAUCCAGAAGGAUGACAUCAUCGGUGGAGUCCAGGCCACUUUUAUUUCCUCUCAAGUUUUAAUUUAGUUGUUUUUCCCUCUUUUUCAUCCCAGGAGAAUGCUGAAUUGUUUACUUCACUAUUCCCUCCCCCACCCCACCCCUCCAAAACAACUAUAUCCGGUCAGCUAUAUGUUUAAACGCAUCCUGAUCGUGCUCGCUGACGUGGUAUUCAAGUCAUAUUGUUUCAUUUGUAUAUUGCUUAUAACAUUACACAUAGUCACGGAGAAGCUUUACCUAGAUAAAAUCAUUCACGUUACAUACGAAGUCGUACCGUGUUGAAAAACGUAAAUCUCUGGACGUUUUCCUCAAAGCUUACAGAAUUUAGGAGGGAUGUAUAGUCUGGGUUAUAAUCCUAGAAGCUUUGGGAUUACGUCUAAGGAAGGUCAUCGUUUGCGUGUCGGAUAUUUUACGCACCGGCUCGUUGCGGCGAUGGACUUCGAACCCGCUCGAUUUGAGUGUGGGUCGAUGGCCCGCGUUCACGCGCGAAGAUUUUCCCCAGUCCGAAGGAAUUAGUCCGGAUCAUUCCGUUUAUAAACCGUGACAGUGCGGAGAAAAACACGGUCUGAGUGCGACUGCUAGACGUCGCUCGGCGUCUCGUAUUUGCCCCGAGAUUCAGGAGCUCUGGUUGUUGAAAAAUAAUAAGAACAAUAAGAGGAAUAUCACCAAUAAAAUGCGGUACAAUGCCUUCAGUUUUUAUGGAUAACUGCACAAGAAAUGUAGGUUUUAUCAGUUUUACCCUGAAUUUGGAUAGAAAUGUCAUUCCGAUUGGCCUCGGUUGGUUUACUCGGUUGUAACGGCGCUCUCGGUCUAAUUAUUGACAGAUUAUUGGGCUGCAUGUAAACAUAGCCAUUUAUGAUCAUAUGAUGGAAAUCACAGAUUUAUUUACAUUUAUUCCACUUCCUUUUUUUCCUCCCAAGAAGUUUUGGAAGUGUGUGUGUGUGUGUGUGUGUGUGUGUGUGUGUGUUUGAACUGUAGUGAUGAAAACCUAGGUCGUAUGAACUGUAACACAGGAGCUAUGUUUCCAUCCAAGUUGCGAAUCGAACUUGCGCGACAAAAUCGGAACAUCGCGUAAAACGUGCGAAUAAAGCACGUGUUCAGGAGAACAAAAUCGUCACUUCCGGGUGCGUCUCGUUCCCCGCCGCUCUCCUGAGCCGAUUAUCCAAUCACGUGAAUUGUUGAGGCAAAGUCACAUGACUUAAAAAAAAAAAUAUAUAUAUAUAUAUAUUUAUUUUUGAUGUGCAUCGAGGAAUUCAUUCUGCUUCUAUUGAGGCCAAAAUGUUUUGUUUUAUGUGCAUUUUGGGGAUUUUUAAAAAUGUCUUUAUGCGAUAUACUAAAAUUUGUCGAUGGUAACAUAGCUAAUGAUUGUUCAGUGGUAGUGCGAGCAUCACAUCGAACACACUUUCAUUCUCUCUUUCUAUGUCAUGAAACCGGAUCCACGCGGUUUGAAGGUAAAUGGCGUCUACAGACGUGGGCUGUGUGCAAUACGGUUGUCCGUCCCUUUUUUUUAAAAUUAUUAUUAUUAUUAUUAUUAUUAUUAUUAUUUCAGUGUGCGUCCUGUUUCGAGAUAAACAUGUAUAUUGUACAAACAAGUGACGAGUUGUUCGUGCGACAAACAACAAAAUCACCAAUGUCUUCCAUUAAAUGAUGUAUAGUUUCAUCCGCUUGUUAGGUAGCGGGAUCUGUCGUGCCAAUGUUAUAUGUGGCCAUGCAUGAGCGGACUCGAUGCUUGCGGAGUAGUUGUAGUGAAGUAUAUUACCGUUAACGCGUAUUAGCUAAUAGUUGAGCAGGUGACGGUUAGGCUAAUUAGCACUGUGUAGCUUUGAGAAUAGUGAGCUUUGGAGAAAACCCAUUUUGUUUUGGUUUUUUUUUUUCGUUCUUGUCUUUGGAAAUUAGUCUAAUCUUAUCGUUUUCUUCUACUAGCGAAAAAUAUGACAUCUUUGGUGUAAAAAAGAAGAAGCUAGUUCCCCCACCCCCUGUUAAACCUUGUUUUUUUUUUUCUAUUAAUAAAAAAAAAAAGUCUUUGGAUUUAUAUUUAAGAUAAAAUCAGAGCCUAAAGAGGACAAAUCACCUUCAACCGUUUUUAAACUUAUUGCUCUUAAUCUUCGCUAGCUAGCACAGGACGACCUGACUAGCGACUAGCUAACUCGGUUGCCUCAGUGCUCGUGGCUGUAAAUUAGGAGCGGGUGGGGGAAAACAAAAAAACAAAAAAACGUAGUAAUACAGGAAUUAAAAAAUUUAGAGUGGAUUUAAGGUAGCACUGUCUUUCCUACGCGGUCGUGGAUGCGUCAGAGAGGUUAGCUAGGCUAGCUUUAACGUAGCACACACACACGAUCAAUUUUAGUCAGCGUGUAGUUUAGUCAGCUAGCGUCUAGCGCCGAUGUAGAUAGUUAAAUACCUCAGUGACUGGAAUGCAAAGUCUAUUUUUAUUUUUUUUUUUGGAUUCCAUCGACAAAUAUGCAAGCCAUACUGCGCAUCACGUUCGAUAUUUUAACGCGAGGUUCGAGCCGUGCCGAAAACGUGACGCCGCCGCGUCGUUUGGUCGGAGCGUUCGGACAGACGAACCCAGUCAUGUGCAAAGUCUCGAUAUAAAGCGAUGAAGUUUGCUAGAACGAUUCAUAACCAAGCGUCAUACUCGAUCGUUUUUUGUCACUUAAGUAAUCAAGUGGCGCUAUAUAUAAUAUAUAUAUAUAUAUAAAUAAAAUAUAUAAUAUUAGUGUAUGUUAUUAGCAUACAGCUACACCUCUGGAGCUUUUGUUGAAUUAUUAAUGAAUUUAUGAUUUGUCCACCUGUGUUGCCAGGUCAUCGUAUUACACACACGAUUAGGCUUAACUGGUUUUGGUAACAAUUUUACUCUGACAGACUGCACUGAUUCAGAACCGAAAGUCCCACUGUGCCAAGAAAAGGGGGUGUGGCCUAUGUUGUGUCAUCGCACCACUCGUUAUAGCUCAGUAUACUGGUCCAGGUGGUAUCGUAGCGAACGUCAGUUGUCGCGUCCCGUCGGGAGGAACGGGACCACAGAGAGAGCGAGAAAAGCAACGCCGACACGGUCGCAACUCACUUUUCAGCUUCCCACUGUGUGGUGUGUUCUGUUCGAGUCAAAAUGACCUGAAACGUACUUUUCACAAAACUAAAUAGGUAAAGGAAUACGUUUACUUUUUGGUGCAUCUAUCAACCCUUUAUAUUUAUAUCGCACCAGUUAUAUCCCAGUCAUUUUAAUUGGAUAUUUACAGAAAUAAAACAUCCUCCACGUCUCAUUUGCGACCGUUCAGUAUUGCCGAGUAGCGAGUGCUCCGAACGUUUUCGGCACGGACGCACCCUCGUCAUUUAGAAGCAAUAAUCUUAUUAUGCAUGAACUCUAUAGUGCCAGAAUGGUGUUUCGUGGAAUGACCUGUAGCAUAUUUCUAGCCUUGGUGUGUGUGUGUGAGUGUGUGUGUGUGUGUGUGUGUGUGUGUGUGUGUGUGUGUGUGUUAAGCCAUCAGUGGCUGUUGGUUUAUUACUAAAGCAAACUGGAUUCUCCAGGAGGCCAAAACUGAGCUCACGUGUUCGUUUAAAACCAAAAACGUUGUACGGGAACGUCGUCAUGAGAGAAAAAUGUCUGAGAACGUACUUCUUUAUGCACACUGCAUGAUUUUCUAUCACUACAUCAGCAGAAAACGCACAGAUCCCGAUUAUGCAGUCGGAAAGCAAUAGGAGAGAGGUGACGGUGACGCGGACGGCUCAUUUCAGACGCUACGGUACGCUCUUCACACGCACUGAACAUCGUUUAUCCAGUGAGCCUGUCGGUGUUUCUAUAUGGGAAUGUAGGGGGAGGGAUAAAUUAGCUACUGCAUGGUAGAAGUGGCUACCACGUGUGUUGUGCUGCAUGCAAUAAUGAAGCUUUUGCUCGGAGAAAAUAUAACGCAAAAAUGUGAAGUCAAGCGAGUGGACCGAUUGUGUUUGAUUCUUCCCUCAGCUCUGUUUUAAAAAAGAAAAAAAAAAGAAAAACAGGUUGUGUAUCUAUAUGCCCCCCCCUUCCACACACACACACACACACACACACACACUCAUCUCACGUGCUUUAUUAUAACCCAUUCUGUAUGUAACUUUCCUUUUUUUAAAUUUUGAAAUGCAUCUCGUCAAGAGGGAUCUGCAGUAUUAUCUGUAUCAACCCGUCACCUGAUGAUGGGAAUGAUCCUAAAGGAGGUGGACACUAAUAAAAUAAUUUCGUACAAGCUUGCUGCUAUACUCGGCUGAUGGAAAUAAAAUUACAAAAAUGUAUGCGCACGAUAAAUAAAUAAAUAAAUCAAUCACGCCCUCCGGUAUUAGCUUUACGCAUCAGAUCCUGGCGGAAGGGCGAAAUCUCAGUGCCGAUCCGUUACCCGGUCUUCACUCACAUCCAACCCGUGCGUUAUUUCAAGCGUUCAAACGGAUCACGUGACGACAGUAGACUCGUGACCUCGAGCGGGUUAAAUUGUUAUUCCCAACUGGAAUCUAAUCCCCUGACUGCCAUUGUCACAAUUUUGAACAAAGUUAUAUUGUUUUCUUCCCCAGCAUGUUGUAUUUUUUUUUUCUUUUCACAAGAUGGGAACACUGUACAGUAUGUUUGGUUAAAUCUAUGCACUACCGAUGCGCUAAGCAUGCUAAGAUAAACCUCUUGAUUUUGUACAAUUUAAAAAAAAAAAGAAAUCUGUAUAUGAAAUUUAGCAAUAAAAACAGCAUGGUGCCAAUCUUA